Molecule: ribosomal RNA, 1265 nt
Filed under: uncultured bacterium
Lineage: Bacteria
Description: bacterial SSU rRNA
Rfam family: Bacterial small subunit ribosomal RNA
Source: RNAcentral
UCACUAGUGAUUAGAGUUUGAUCCUGGCUCAGAUUGAACGCUGGCGGCAUGCCUUACACAUGCAAGUCGAACGGCAGCAUGAUCUAGCUUGCUAGAUUGAUGGCGAGUGGCGAACGGGUGAGUAAUACAUCGGAACGUGCCCUGUAGUGGGGGAUAACUAGUCGAAAGAUUAGCUAAUACCGCAUACGACCUGAGGGUGAAAGUGGGGGACCGCAAGGCCUCAUGCUAUAGGAGCGGCCGAUGUCUGAUUAGCUAGUUGGUGGGGUAAAGGCCCACCAAGGCGACGAUCAGUAGCUGGUCUGAGAGGACGAUCAGCCACACUGGGACUUAGACACGGCCCAGACUCCUACGGGAGGCAGCAGUGGGGAAUUUUGGACAAUGGGGGCAACCUUGUCCAGCAAUGCCGCGUGUGGAAGAAGGCCUUCGGGUUGUAAAGCACUUUUGUCCGGAAAGAAAUCGCACUUACUAAUAUUAGGUGUGGAUGACGGUACCGGAAGAAUAAGGACCGGCUAACUACGUGCCAGCAGCCGCGGUAAUACGUAGGGUCCAAGCGUUAAUCGGAAUUACUGGGCGUAAAGCGUGCGCAGGCGGUUGUGCAAGACCGAUGUGAAAUCCCCGGGCUUAACCUGGGAAUUGCAUUGGUGACUGCACGGCUAGAGGUGGUGUCAGAGGGGGGGUAGGAAUUCCACGUGUAGCAGUGAAAUGCGUAGAGAUGUGGAGGAAUACCGAUGGCGAAGGCAGCCCCCUGGGAUAACACUGACGCUCAUGCACGAAAGCGUGGGGAGCAAACAGGAUUAGAUACCCUGGUAGUCCACGCCCUAAACGAUGUCAACUAGUUGUUGGGGAUUCAUUUCCUUAGUAACGUAGCUAACGCGUGAAGUUGACCGCCUGGGGAGUACGGUCGCAAGAUUAAAACUCAAAGGAAUUGACGGGGACCCGCACAAGCGGUGGAUGAUGUGGAUUAUUUCGAUGCACCGCGAAAAACCUUACCUACCCCUUGACAUGCCACUAACGAAGCAGAGAUGCAUUAGGUGCUCGAAAGAGAAAGUGGACACAGGUGCUGCAUGCCUGUCGUCAGCUCGUUUCGUUAAAUGUUGGGUUAAGUCCCGCAACGAGCGCAACCCUUGUCUCUAGUUGCUACGAAAGGGCACUCUAGAGAGACUGCCGGUGACAAACCGGAGGAAGGUGGGGAUGACGUCAAGUCCUCAUGGCCCUUAUGGGUAGGGCUUCACACGUCAUACAAUGGUGCAUACAGAGGGUUGCCA